GGAGGGUGCAAGCGUUAUCCGGAUUCACUGGGUUUAAAGGGUGCGUAGGUGGGUUGGUAAGUCAGUGGUGAAAUCUCCAGGCUUAACUUGGAAACUGCCAUUGAUACUAUCAAUCUUGAAUACCGUGGAGAUGAGCGGAAUAUGUCAUGUAGCGGUGAAAUGCUUAGAUAUGACAUAGAACACCAAUUGCGAAGGCAGCUCGUUACACGAAUAUUGACACUGAUGCACGAAAGCGUGGGGAUCAAACAGGAUUAGAUACCCUGGUAGUCCACGCCCUAAACGAUGGAUACUCGACAUUUGCGAUAAACUGCAAGUGUCUGAGCGAAAGCAUUAAGUAUCCCACCUGGGAAGUACGACCGCAAGGUUG
Molecule: ribosomal RNA, 367 nt
Filed under: uncultured bacterium
Lineage: Bacteria
Description: bacterial SSU rRNA
Rfam family: Bacterial small subunit ribosomal RNA
Source: RNAcentral